This 460-nucleotide ribosomal RNA is filed under the name uncultured bacterium. Its description in RNAcentral is "partial 16S ribosomal RNA". It matches the Rfam family "Bacterial small subunit ribosomal RNA", at positions 338 to 795 of the family's 1533-position model. The record is from RNAcentral.
CCUACGGGGGGCAGCAGUGAGGAAUAUUGGUCAAUGGGCGCGAGUCUGAACCAGCCAUGCAGCGUGAAGGAUGACUGCCCUACGGGUUGUAAACUGCUUUUAUAAAGGAAUAAAGUGAGGCACGUGUGCCUGUUUGUAUGUACUUUAUGAAUAAGGAUCGGCUAACUCCGUGCCAGCAGCCGCGGUAAUACGGAGGAUCCGAGCGUUAUCCGGAUUUAUUGGGUUUAAAGGGAGCGUAGAUGGGUUGUUAAGUCAGUUGUGAAAGGUUGCGGCUCAACCGUAAAAUUGCAAUUGAUACUGGCAGACUUGAGGACAGUUGCGGUAGGCGGAAUUUGUGGUGUAGCGGUGAAAUGCUUAGAUAUCACGCAGAACUCCGAUUGCGAAGGCAGCUUACUAAACUGCCACUGACAUUGAUGCUCGAAAGUGUGGGUAUCAAACAGGAUUAGAUACCCCUGUAGUC